This 503-nucleotide ribosomal RNA is filed under the name uncultured bacterium. RNAcentral describes it as "bacterial SSU rRNA". It matches the Rfam family "Bacterial small subunit ribosomal RNA", at positions 23 to 518 of the family's 1533-position model. The record is from RNAcentral.
CUCAGGAUGAACGCUAGCGGCAGGCUUAACACAUGCAAGUCGAGGGGCAUCGGGAGUAGCAAUACUUGCCGGCGACCGGCGCAAGGGUGCGUAACGCGUGAGCAACAUGCCCGUAUCAGGGGGAUAAUCCAUGGAAACGUGGUCUAAUACCCCAUAGUAAUUAUGUAAGGCAUCUUAUAUAAUUUAAAGCUUUGGUGGAUACGGAUUGGCUCGCGUGACAUUAGCUGGAUGGUAAGGUAACGGCUUACCAUGGCUACGAUGUCUAGGGGUUCUGAGAGGAAGGUCCCCCCACACUGGAACUGAGACACGGUCCAGACUCCUACGGGAGGCAGCAGUGAGGAAUAUUGGACAAUGGAUGGAAAUCUGAUCCAGCCAUGCCGCGUGCAGGAAAAGACGGCCCUAUGGGUUGUAAACUGCUUUUGUAUGGGAGCAAUAAGGGCUACGUGUAGUCCGAUGAGAGUACCAUACGAAUAAGCACCGGCUAACUCCGUGCCAGCAGCGGC